Molecule: transfer RNA, 74 nt
Organism: Christensenella minuta
Lineage: Bacteria; Bacillati; Bacillota; Clostridia; Christensenellales; Christensenellaceae
Rfam family: tRNA
About the family: Transfer RNA (tRNA) molecules are approximately 80 nucleotides in length. Their secondary structure includes four short double-helical elements and three loops (D, anti-codon, and T loops).
Source: Rfam
CGCGGGGUAGAGCAGUUUGGUAGCUCGUCGGGCUCAUAACCCGGAGGUCGCAGGUUCAAAUCCUGUCCCCGCAA